GCUCGGGUGGCGAAAUUGGCAGACGCGCUAGACUUAGGAUCUAGUGGAGCAAUCCAUGAGGGUUCGAGUCCCUCCCCGAGCA
Molecule: transfer RNA, 82 nt
Filed under: Chthoniobacterales bacterium
Lineage: Bacteria; Pseudomonadati; Verrucomicrobiota; Spartobacteria; Chthoniobacterales
Description: tRNA-Leu
Rfam family: tRNA
About the family: Transfer RNA (tRNA) molecules are approximately 80 nucleotides in length. Their secondary structure includes four short double-helical elements and three loops (D, anti-codon, and T loops).
Source: RNAcentral